AUACGGAGGGUGCAAGCGUUAAUCGGAAUUACUGGGCGUAAAGCGCGCGUAGGCGGCUUGGUCAGUCGGAUGUGAAAGCCCCGGGCUUAACCUGGGAAUUGCAUUCGAUACUGCCAGGCUAGAAUGUAGUAGAGGGUAGUGGAAUUUCGGGUGUAGCGGUGAAAUGCGUAGAUAUCCGGAGGAACAUCAGUGGCGAAGGCGACUUGCUGGACUAAUACUGACGCUAAGGAGCGAAAGCGUGGGGAGCAAACGGGAUUAGAAACCCUAGUAGUCC
Molecule: ribosomal RNA, 274 nt
Filed under: uncultured bacterium
Lineage: Bacteria
Description: partial 16S ribosomal RNA
Rfam family: Bacterial small subunit ribosomal RNA
Source: RNAcentral